Molecule: ribosomal RNA, 413 nt
Filed under: uncultured bacterium
Lineage: Bacteria
Description: bacterial SSU rRNA
Rfam family: Bacterial small subunit ribosomal RNA
Source: RNAcentral
AUUGAACGCUGGCGGCAGGCCUAACACAUGCAAGUCGAGCGGGGUUUUCGGACCUAGCGGCGGACGGGUGAGUAAUGCGUAGGAAGCUACCCGACAGAGGGGGAUACCAGUUGGAAACGACUGUUAAUACCGCAUAAUGUCUACGGACCAAAGUGUGGGACCUUCGGGCCACAUGCUGUCGGAUGCGCCUACGUGGGAUUAGCUAGUUGGUGAGGUAAUGGCUCACCAAGGCGACGAUCCCUAGCUGGUUUGAGAGGAUGAUCAGUCACACUGGAACUGAGACACGGUCCAGACUCCUACGGAGGCAGCAGUGGGGAAUAUUGGACAAUGGGCGAAAGCCUGAUCCAGCCAUGCCGCGUGUGUGAAGAAGGUCUUCGGAUUGUAAAGCACUUUAAGUUGGGAGGAAGGGUAGU